RNAcentral lists this small RNA (144 nucleotides) under Desulfosporosinus sp. RNAcentral describes it as "c-di-AMP sequence". It matches the Rfam family "c-di-AMP riboswitch aptamer (ydaO/yuaA leader)". Rfam says of the family: This family represents a conserved RNA structure found upstream of the ydaO and yuaA genes in Bacillus subtilis and related genes in other bacteria. The ydaO/yuaA element is thought to act as a genetic "off" switch for the ydaO and yuaA genes in its native state. Lineage: Bacteria; Bacillati; Bacillota; Clostridia; Eubacteriales; Desulfitobacteriaceae. The record is from RNAcentral. RNAcentral also lists the same sequence under 1 other name.
ACAUUCAAAAAGCUGAAUCCAAAUUUAAUGUACUUGGAACGGGGGAUUAUAUUGGGGUGAAUCACGUGACCCUUUUCGCGUGUAGGGCAAACACCUUCUGCCCGAAUCCGUCAACUAACCUCGUAAGCUAAGAAAGGUGGAAAA